UACAGAGGGUGCAAGCGUUAAUCGGAAUGACUGGGCGUAAAGGGCGUGUAGGUUGAGACUUAAGUUAGAUGUGAAAGCCCCGGGCUUAACCUGGGAAAGUCAUCUAAAACUGGGUCACUAGAGUAUAGGAGAGGGAAGUGGAAUUUCCGGUGUAGCGGUGAAAUGCGUAGAUAUCGGAAGGAACACCAGUGGCGAAGGCGACUUCCUGGCCUAAUACUGACACUGAGGCGCGAAAGCGUGGGUAGCGAACAGG
This 253-nucleotide unclassified non-coding RNA is filed under the name uncultured Gammaproteobacteria bacterium. RNAcentral describes it as "contains 16S-23S intergenic spacer region". It matches the Rfam family "Bacterial small subunit ribosomal RNA", at positions 524 to 776 of the family's 1533-position model. The record is from RNAcentral. Lineage: Bacteria; Pseudomonadati; Pseudomonadota; Gammaproteobacteria.